UACGUAGGUGGCAAGCGUUGUCCGGAUUUACUGGGCGUAAAGGGCGUGCAGGCGGUCUAUUAGGUCUAGGGUGAAAGCUCCCGGCUCAACUGGGAGAGGUCCUUGGAUACUGGUGGACUUGAGGGAUGCAGAGGAAAGUGGAAUUCCCGGUGUAGUGGUGAUAUGCGUAGAUAUCGGGAGGAACACCAGUGGCGAAGGCGGCUUUCUGGGCAUUUCCUGACGCUGAGACGCGAAAGCGUGGGGAGCGAACCGG
RNAcentral lists this ribosomal RNA (253 nucleotides) under uncultured bacterium. RNAcentral's name for it is "partial 16S ribosomal RNA". It matches the Rfam family "Bacterial small subunit ribosomal RNA", at positions 524 to 776 of the family's 1533-position model. The record is from RNAcentral.